GAAAUGCGAUACGUAGUGUGAAUUGCAGAAUUCCGUGAACCAUCGAAUCUUUGAACGCACCUUGCGCUCCUUGGUAUUCCUUGGAGCAUGCCUGUUUGAGUAUCAUGAAAUCUUCAAAGUAAAUCUUUUGUUAACUCAAUUGGUUUCUACUUUGGUAUUGGAGGUCUUUGCAGCUUCACACCUGCUCCUCUUUGUUCAUUAGCUGGAUCUCAGUGUUAUGCUUGGUUCCACUUGGCGUGAUAAGUUAUCUAUCGCUGAGGACACUGUAAAAGGUGGCCAAGGUAAAUGCAGAUGAACCGCUUCUAAUAGUCCAUUGACUUGGACAAUACUUUUAUGAUCUGAUCUCAAAUCAGGUAGGACUACCCGCUGAACUUAAGC
RNAcentral lists this unclassified non-coding RNA (378 nucleotides) under plant metagenome. RNAcentral's name for it is "partial contains 5.8S ribosomal RNA, internal transcribed spacer 2, and large subunit ribosomal RNA". The stretch from base 1 to 105 matches the Rfam family "5.8S ribosomal RNA", at positions 50 to 154 of the family's 154-position model. The record is from RNAcentral.